This 70-nucleotide transfer RNA is filed under the name Loxodonta africana (African savanna elephant). It matches the Rfam family "tRNA". From Rfam's summary of the family: Transfer RNA (tRNA) molecules are approximately 80 nucleotides in length. Lineage: Eukaryota; Metazoa; Chordata; Mammalia; Proboscidea; Elephantidae. The record is from Rfam by way of RNAcentral.
GCACUGAUGAUUUAGUAGUACAAUCUUUGCCUUCUAUGUGGAGACCUGGGUUCGAUUCCCGGUCAAUGCA